Astatotilapia calliptera (eastern happy) is the source of this 1829-nucleotide long non-coding RNA. The record is from Ensembl. NCBI's taxonomy places the organism in Eukaryota, Metazoa, Chordata, Actinopteri, Cichliformes, Cichlidae.
GGAGCAUCGAGUUGGGAAGAGGAAGAGUUACAUCGGACCCAAAGCAUUCAGCUGUGUCCAGGAACACGAGUGAAACUCACUUUCGUGUAACUGCGCAUUCGCCAUCGCAGCCUACGGUGACUGCGAUUGGCUCGUUUGGUACCGACGUUUUCUCCUACACGUGUCACGCUCGUGUAAAUGAACCGUAACAUCACGGAGACUGGACCCUGUGGUGGAGGAGAAGGUUAAGCUGAUGGUUCAUGAAGAUUUCGGAUGAGAUUCGCUGGACGGCCUGGAUGACAGGCAGCCUGAGAGGGGGAACACAGUGAAGCUGAUUGGCUCAGAGAACUCAGGCAGAGAGUUUAUUGGUUAAAAAAAGUGUCGUAAUAAAGCAGAACAGAACUAACGAAGCAAAGCUGGAAUGAUGGCAGAAGAGAUCUUCCUCAUUGAGCUUAAUUAAAAUCUUCAUCUCUAUGUGAGGCUCGUGGCACCACGCCUGCAAAGGUGGAUGUUUCAGUCUGUAAACCUGGAAAAAACGCCGGCCGAUAAAUAAUCCCAUUUCAUUUUGGAAAUAUUUCACAAAGCAGCGUGAAACUCUGCUGCUCAUCAUUUUUUUCCAUAAUUAUCUUUAUUUGAGCUGAAAGACUCGAUCAGAUCAGAGCGAGGAUAAGCAAAGGUUGCUUGACUCUGAAACUUCAAAAUAAAAGCCUGUCAUUUAGCUUUGAUUCUUUGAGGGAGUAAAAGAUUUGAAAUGGAGCUUAUAGGUUUCAUCUGAUGCUGUUUUAGAUUUUCUGUGUGUGUUUGAGCCGUGAAGGCUGUGAAUACCUUUGAGUCACAGUAAUCCACCUGCAUGAGGGCCGUCUGUCCGUCUGUCAGCUUAAAUCCUGCUCAGCUCCAGUUUCAGCAACAUGUUCACUCGAUCACACUCUUCAGCACUUCAGCAGUGCGACCAGGUUCAGAUCAGAAAUAACUGAAAGGAAGGUCUGAUGUGUUCUUUUUGCACUUUAUCUUUCAGGACACGGUUAUCUCAGCCCACAGCAGCAGGCUGAAAAACCAUCUGAGAUAAUGUGAGUGUGAAAUCCUGGAUAUCAAACAUUUGUUCAUGUUUGAACUUCACUGUUGAAUCAUGUAGGUGCACAUCUGCAACCCAACGGCUCCUCGACAACACGAACAUCGGUGAUGCAAACUCUGCGUCUCUCACAUCCUGGAUCAAAGACAUGACAGCCAACACUGAGGAGGUCAAAGGGGUGUUUCUCCUCCUUUGUGGUUCCGCGCCCGGUCCUCGUUACUUUGAGGCCCUGGACACUGAGAGUUUCCCAUGCCUUGGGAUAAGGACCCUGGAUGUUGCACAGCUGUAGGCGGACUGGGACAGGGAAGCGUCUCACUCUCUGUGAGGAACCUUCAGGAAUGGUGACGCUGUUUGUCCAGAUAUCUGAUUGGUCAGUAGGGGGUUCGUACCUGCGCUCCUUUUACCUGGAACAUAAAGAGUUCUGCAGCAGGCAUAAGAAGUGAGCCCAACAGCAUCACUGAAACCAGAGUUAAACCUGACGUUAGCCGGGUAAGCUUUCGUGUUACUGAUACACUGAUACGACCCAACAGGAAGUGUGUGCUCUGCCACCAAUCCUACACCAGCUCUGGUUCUGGGGAGUCUUUUACUGAUUCGGGACCUGUGAGUGUGUCAGUGUGUGUUGGGUGUGACAUCACUCGCUCAGGCACAAUUACAUCAUUAGGCACCCUCCUCCUCCUAGCCCCCCCCCCCCCCCCCGGGGCCGUCCCAGCUGCCAGAACAAGUGAGCAGACCAAAGUGCUGCGCUGACCUAAAUUCUCCCAGAGAGACUCCUCUUAAAGCU